Molecule: ribosomal RNA, 492 nt
Filed under: uncultured bacterium
Lineage: Bacteria
Description: partial 16S ribosomal RNA
Rfam family: Bacterial small subunit ribosomal RNA
Source: RNAcentral
AGUGAACGCUGGCGGUAGGCCUAACACAUGCAAGUCGAACGGCAGCACAGUAAGAGCUUGCUCUUACGGGUGGCGAGUGGCGUACGGGUGAGGAAUACAUCGGAAUCUACUUUUUCGUGGGGGAUAACGUAGGGAAACUUACGCUAAUACCGCAUACGACCUACGGGUGAAAGCAGGGGAUCUUCGGACCUUGCGCGAUUGAAUGAGCCGAUGUCGGAUUAGCUAGUUGGCGGGGUAAAGGCCCACCAAGGCGACGAUCCGUAGCUGGUCUGAGAGGAUGAUCAGCCACACUGGAACUGAGACACGGUCCAGACUCCUACGGGAGGCAGCAGUGGGGAAUAUUGGACAAUGGGCGCAAGUCUGAUCCAGCCAUACCGCGUGGGUGAAGAAGGCCUUCGGGUUGUAAAGCCCUUUUGUUGGGAAAGAAAAGCAGCAGGUUAAUACCCCGCUGUUCUGACGGUACCCAAAGAAUAAGCACCGGCUAACUUCGUG